Molecule: ribosomal RNA, 581 nt
Filed under: uncultured Bacteroidota bacterium
Lineage: Bacteria; Pseudomonadati; Bacteroidota
Description: bacterial SSU rRNA
Rfam family: Bacterial small subunit ribosomal RNA
Source: RNAcentral
UGCCCCAUAUGCCCACGGAAUCGCAUGGUUCAGUGGGGAAAGUUCCGACGGUAAAGGAUGAGCAUGCGUCCCAUUAGCUAGUUGGUGAGGUAACGGCUCACCAAGGCGACGAUGGGUAGGGGGCCUGAGAGGGUGAUCCCCCACACUGGUACUGAGACACGGACCAGACUCCUACGGGAGGCAGCAGUGAGGAAUAUUGGGCAAUGGAGGCAACUCUGACCCAGCCAUGCCGCGUGCAGGAAGACGGCCCUCUGGGUUGUAAACUGCUUUUGUUUGGGAAUAAACCCUUCUACGUGUAGGAGGCUGAAGGUACCUUACGAAUAAGCAUCGGCUAACUCCGUGCCAGCAGCCGCGGUAAUACGGAGGAUGCAAGCGUUAUCCGGAUUUAUUGGGUUUAAAGGGUCCGUAGGCGGAUCUUUAAGUCAGUGGUGAAAGCCCACGGCUCAACUGUGGAACUGCCAUUGAUACUGGAGAUCUUGAGUGUAGUAGAAGUAGGCGGAAUAGGGCAUGUAGCGGUGAAAUGCAUAGAUAUGCCCUAGAACACCGAUUGCGAAGGCAGCUUACUAUGUUACAACUGACGC